UCCCGGACCGUCGGUUCACCGCCCGACGGUGUCAAACUGACGCGAUCCGGGACGUCCUGCCGGUGGCGUGUCAGCUGCUUCGUUCCUUUCGGGGUUCGUCGCGGGCGGCGCCGAUUCAAUCCCGUCGCGGUGCUCUUCAUUGAGUGUCGAGGUGGGCCGGCACGUUUACUUUGAACAAAUUAGAGUGCUUCAAGCAGGCUGGAUAUCGCCUGAAUGCUAGUGCAUGGAAUAAUGGAAUAGGACUUCGGUUCUAUUUUGUUGGUUUUCGGAACCAGAGGUAAUGAUUAAUGGAGACAGGCGGGGGCAUUCGUAUUGCGACGUUAGAGGUGAAAUUCUUGGAUCGUCGCAAGACGGACCGAAGCGAAAGCAUUUGCCAAGGAUGUUCUCGUUGAUCAAGAACGAAAGUUAGAGGUUCGAAGGCGAUCAGAUACCGCCCUAGUUCUAACCAUAAACGAUGCCAGCUAGCGAUCCGUCAAAGUUCCUUUGAUGACUUGACGGGCAGCUUCCGGGAAACCAAAGCUUUUGGGUUCCGGGGGAAGUAUGGUUGCAAAGCUGAAACUUAAAGGAAUUGACGGAAGGGCACCACCAGGAGUGGAGCCUGCGGCUUAAUUUGACUCAACACGGGAAACCUCACCAGGCCCGGACACUGGAAGGAUUGACAGAUUGAGAGCUCUUUCUUGAUUCAGUGGGUGGUGGUGCAUGGCCGUUCUUAGUUGGUGGAGCGAUUUGUCUGGUUAAUUCCGAUAACGAAC
RNAcentral lists this ribosomal RNA (752 nucleotides) under Chaetanaphothrips signipennis. Its description in RNAcentral is "bacterial SSU rRNA". It matches the Rfam family "Eukaryotic small subunit ribosomal RNA", at positions 729 to 1336 of the family's 1831-position model. Lineage: Eukaryota; Metazoa; Arthropoda; Insecta; Thysanoptera; Thripidae. The record is from RNAcentral.